CUCACUCUUCUCUCCACUCCCCAAAU
Molecule: non-coding RNA, 26 nt
Filed under: Mus musculus (house mouse)
Lineage: Eukaryota; Metazoa; Chordata; Mammalia; Rodentia; Muridae
Also listed under: 1 other name
Source: RNAcentral